Molecule: non-coding RNA, 1822 nt
Organism: Taeniopygia guttata (zebra finch)
Lineage: Eukaryota; Metazoa; Chordata; Aves; Passeriformes; Estrildidae
Source: RefSeq, a predicted model, not a curated record
GGCCCCCGGGGCCGGUGCCGCGCUGGGCCCCCUCACCCCGCCGCCCCCAGCCCCUCUCCUCCGCAGGUUUCUGCUCCUCUCCCGCCUGUCCCCGCACAGCAACACCGCCUCCCUUGCAGGGGGCUUGUUUCCUCGUAGUGGCGAGCGACCGUCCCCCCCCUUCCCCUCUCGCACCAGCUCGGGGGCAAAGCUCACUUUCCGCCCUCAUUACAUGUUCUGCUCCCUCUGGAGUCCCCCCCUUCCUUUUCCCAAGGAAUUUCCAGCAAUAGUGUUUAACCUCAGCCUUUAAAAUCCCUGGUGGCACAGACGUUGGCCCGACCUCAGCCCUGUGCUCCAGGCUGCCCAGCAUCCCUGACUCGUUGUACCCGUGAGGGUCUCUGCCCCAGACGGUCCCAGCAAAAGCAGCUUCAGGGCUGAAUUCAGUAGGGUUUCACAUCUUUUUCUUUUGCGGAGGUGAUACUACAUUGCCAGCUACGAUUUUUUACCAUAUGCAACACCAACACACUGGCAGUUAACAAGCUACAACACAGAACCACUUGGCAACACAGAGAAAAUGGGCAGAAAAUCCCCAAGCAAGAGGGAAAGGGGAGGAAAAAAUGAAAUGAAUUGACAGCAUUAAGCAUGCAAGAGAGAACUGUAAAGGAGAGGCUGCCAGGGAGCAAAGGUGCCCUCCCAGGCUUGUGCACAGUACCAAGUGCAGAACCUCAGCAGGGGAAGCAGCUACUGCUUAACCAUCAGAGAGAUGAAGCACCUGAAUACUUCCUGGAGAGCAACAGAGCUAUUACAGGCAGAAGGUAACUGGAGCUUUGACUUAAAUGCAAAUUAUCAAACACCGAACAGUCUGAAGCAGAGACCCAAGCCGACUUGGACAGAAGACACAACAGAGAUAAAUUUGCUGCUGACGUUUUAUCUUGGGUGGGAGUAACAAAGGGAGAAGAGUGAUCUCACUACUCCAAUCACAUUGCAUUAUGAUGUACCUUGGAAACAGAAAAGCAGUCUAGGUAACAGAUGAUCACAAGACAGAAGAAUAAGUGACCCUGCACUACACAGUUUUAUGUCCCAAACGCAGUUAAAAUCGAGGAGAAAGGACAAGACACUACUAAAGGAGCUGUUUCUAUCAAUUAUGGCAAGAUUUACUCAGAGCCCCAAUAAAGGGUCAGUGCAGACAUCGCAGCAGAAUAGAAGAGAGCUACAUUUAUGUUCCAGAGAGACACCUCUGAGCUGUCCUUGUAUGACAACAUCGCCAGAAGCUAAGCCAAUCAGAAAAAAAACCAACCAAAACAACAACAGAACAACAGCAACAAAGAACUUUUCAGAAGUUCCCUGACCCCAAACUGUUUAUAGACUAAGCAUUUCUACUCCAACAGCUUCAACAGAAGAUCUGCUGCCCAAAUAUUUGCUGGAUCUUGCUCCACUCUUUUGCCAGUAGACAGAAAGGAAGGACCCAAGGAGGUUCUUCACAUUCUGCACAGUGCCGGGGAUGCACAAACAGCUUCAAAGAUCUAUAGAUAGGAUGUAGAUACAGCCCUGUCUAAAAAAGUCGCCACCCUAAAAAAUUAGUAACUUGCCCAACUGGAAGAAGGUAAGCUACCUUUUUUACGGUAUCUGCUUUGUCAAAUUAAAAGAUACUUAACAAUUAAAAUCCAACUAGUCCCAGAGGAGUAAAAAAAGCAAAACCAACAAAAAAAUUGCACCUGCAUUUUCUUUUCUAGGUGCUGAAGAAACCUGCAUUACCAUUUAUUGCAAACCAAAAAGAGACAUAAACAAAUACACUUCUUGGUUUUCUGAUCAGGUAUGGCCAAUAAAGUGUCAGAUUCUUUUA